Molecule: ribosomal RNA, 467 nt
Filed under: uncultured bacterium
Lineage: Bacteria
Description: partial 16S ribosomal RNA
Rfam family: Bacterial small subunit ribosomal RNA
Source: RNAcentral
GACGAACGCUGGCGGCGUGCUUAACACAUGCAAGUCGAACGGAAAGGCCCUGCUUUUGUGGGGUGCUCGAGUGGCGAACGGGUGAGUAACACGUGAGUAACCUGCCCUUGACUUUGGGAUAACUUCAGGAAACUGGGGCUAAUACCGGAUAGGAGCUCCUGCUGCAUGGUGGGGGUUGGAAAGUUUCGGCGGUUGGGGAUGGACUCGCGGCUUAUCCGCUUGUUGGUGGGGUAGUGGCUUACCAAGGCUUUGACGGGUAGCCGGCCUGAGAGGGUGACCGGCCACAUUGGGAGUGAGAUACGGCCCAGACUCCUGCGGGAGGCAGCAGUGGGGAAUAUUGCACAAUGGGCGGAAGCCUGAUGCAGCAACGCCGCGUGCGGGAUGACGGCCUUCGGGUUGUAAACCGCUUUCGCCUGUGACGAAGCGUGAGUGACGGUAAUGGGUAAAGAAGCACCGGCUAACUACGU